This 142-nucleotide small nuclear RNA is filed under the name Chelonoidis abingdonii (Abingdon island giant tortoise). RNAcentral's name for it is "U11 spliceosomal RNA (ENSCABG00000009695.1)". It matches the Rfam family "U11 spliceosomal RNA". Lineage: Eukaryota; Metazoa; Chordata; Testudines; Testudinidae. The record is from Rfam by way of RNAcentral.
AAAAAGGGCUUCUGCUGUGUAUAGCACAUGGAGUGGGGCGGCUGCGGCCUUACCUUGCCUCGUGCGGAAUCGACAUCAAGAGAUUUCGGAAGCACAAUUUUUGCUCCUGGGGCAGCUGAUAAUCGUUGGUUCCGGCGCCCCG